Molecule: long non-coding RNA, 150 nt
Organism: Hibiscus syriacus
Lineage: Eukaryota; Viridiplantae; Streptophyta; Magnoliopsida; Malvales; Malvaceae
Exons: 3
Source: RefSeq, a predicted model, not a curated record
UUCAAAUUUAAAAAAAAAUAAAAAAAACGUACCUUCUUUAAGGAGGUAAGUCGAGAAAAUUCGAUGUCAUCGUCAUCUCCGAUCACCUCUCUAACUUCCUCCCUCAGUUGAUAUUGCCAUUGCGGGUGCAAGGCCAAAAGCAGCAAGGUC